CCUACGGGAGGCAGCAGUGGGGAAUAUUGGACAAUGGGGGCAACCCUGAUCCAGCCAUGCCGCGUGUGUGAAGAAGGCCCUCGGGUUGUAAAGCACUUUCAGUGAGGAAGAACGCCUGGUGGUUAAUACCCAUCAGGAAAGACAUCACUCACAGAAGAAGCACCGGCUAACUCCGUGCCAGCAGCCGCGGUAAUACGGAGGGUGCGAGCGUUAAUCGGAAUUACUGGGCGUAAAGCGCGCGUAGGUGGCUUGAUAAGCCGGUUGUGAAAGCCCCGGGCUCAACCUGGGAACGGCAUCCGGAACUGUCAAGCUAGAGUGCAGGAGAGGAAGGUAGAAUUCCCGGUGUAGCGGUGCAAUGCGUAGAGAUCGGGAGGAAUACCAGUGGCGAAGGCGGCCUUCUGGACUGACACUGACACUGAGGUGCGAAAGCGUGGGUAGCAAACAGGAUUAGAUACCCCGGUAGUC
Molecule: ribosomal RNA, 465 nt
Filed under: Vreelandella stevensii
Lineage: Bacteria; Pseudomonadati; Pseudomonadota; Gammaproteobacteria; Oceanospirillales; Halomonadaceae
Description: partial 16S ribosomal RNA
Rfam family: Bacterial small subunit ribosomal RNA
Source: RNAcentral